GACGAACGCUGGCGGCGUGCUUAACACAUGCAAGUCGAACGGAAAGGCCCUGCUUUUGUGGGGUGCUCGAGUGGCGAACGGGUGAGUAACACGUGAGUAACCUGCCCUUGACUUUGGGAUAACUUCAGGAAACUGGGGCUAAUACCGGAUAGGAGCUCCUGCUGCAUGGUGGGGGUUGGAAAGUUUCGGCGGUCGGGGAUGGACUCGCGGCUUAUCAGCUUGUUGGUGGGGUAGUGGCUUACCGAGGCUUUGACGGGUAGCCGGCCUGAGAGGGUGACCGGCCACAUUGGGACUGAGAUACGGCCCAGACUCCUACGGGAGGCAGCAGUGGGGAAUAUUGCACAAUGGGCGGAAGCCUGAUGCAGCAACGCCGCGUGCGGGAUGACGGCCUUCGGGUUGUAAACCGCUUUCGCCUGUGACGAAGCGUGAGUGACGGUAAUGGGUAAAGAAGCACCGGCUAACUACGUG
This 468-nucleotide ribosomal RNA is filed under the name uncultured bacterium. Its description in RNAcentral is "partial 16S ribosomal RNA". It matches the Rfam family "Bacterial small subunit ribosomal RNA", at positions 28 to 507 of the family's 1533-position model. The record is from RNAcentral.